GAUGAAGAACGCAGCGAAAUGCGAUAAGUAAUGUGAAUUGCAGAAGUUAGUGAAUCAUCGAAUGUUUGAACGCACAUUUCGCCCCUUGGCAUUCCGAAGGGCAUGCCUGUUCGAGCGUCAUGAUCAAAUCUCAAGCCUUGCUUGGUAUUGGGUUUUCGUCUCUCUCGUCUUUGUUACGGGUAUUGACGUGCCUGAAAAUCAAUGGCAGUGCCUUAUUAGACUCAAGCGUAGCAGACUGACACGCUUUAGAGAACUUUUGUAGGUCCUGUCAAUAAAAUAAUAAGUUGGACCUCGGAUCAGGUAGGGAUACCCGCUGAACUUAAGCAUAUCAAUAAGCGGAGGA
RNAcentral lists this unclassified non-coding RNA (343 nucleotides) under soil metagenome. RNAcentral describes it as "partial contains 5.8S ribosomal RNA, internal transcribed spacer 2, and large subunit ribosomal RNA". The stretch from base 1 to 120 matches the Rfam family "5.8S ribosomal RNA", at positions 35 to 154 of the family's 154-position model. The record is from RNAcentral.